AUGGACCAUCACCACCCGCCGCCGCUCCCGCAGCAGCACGGCGACCACUACCGGCCGCUGGUGCUCUCCCCGCAGCCCGACCAUGCCCACGCCCUUCAGUACCAGCAGCCGCAGCAGCAAGCGACGCCGCCGCCGCAGCACCACCACCCCUCGCUCGCGUCCCAUUUCCACCUCCUCCACUUGGUGACAAGAUUAGGUGAUGCGAUUGCAACAGGCACAAGGGAUCAAGCUUUUGAUGCAUUGGUUGAAGAAUUGACCAGUCAAUUUGCCAGGAGCCAGCAGUUAUUGAACUCCAUUUCAGGAACACUAAGCUCGAAAUCUGUUACGGUUGAAGGACAAAUGCAAAGUUUGGAAGAAACCCGUCAGCUGCUUGAUCAAAGAAAGGAUUUGAUCGCAAAAUACAAAAGCUCGGUGGAAGACCUCCUCAAGGGGGAUCCAACAAGAUAA
This 447-nucleotide ribosomal RNA is filed under the name Triticum aestivum (bread wheat). RNAcentral's name for it is "partial small subunit ribosomal RNA". Lineage: Eukaryota; Viridiplantae; Streptophyta; Magnoliopsida; Poales; Poaceae. The record is from RNAcentral.